Molecule: transfer RNA, 64 nt
Filed under: Rugilus geniculatus
Lineage: Eukaryota; Metazoa; Arthropoda; Insecta; Coleoptera; Staphylinidae
Description: tRNA-His
Source: RNAcentral
AUUUAAAUAGUUUAUUAAAAAUAUUGAUUUGUGGAAUCAAAGAUGUUAAUAUUAACUUUAAAUU